AUUGAACGAUGUAUAACUUCAUUUGACAUUUCAUUGCCCCAAACCCAAAUUUAUAUAAACUUUACAAAUAGACUGAAUGGGAUACAUAAUAGGGAAAAGGAAUAGAAAUAAUAUGUCCAAUGCAGGAGUAUGAUCCUAAAUUAUGCUUCCAAGAAAGAUUUUUUGUUCUUGAAAUUCUUGUUGUCUCCGGAUACCAACUCCUUUGGAUGAACUAGUAGCUUGUAAAGUUAUUUCAUCCAACUAGAAUUAUCUAUAUCUACACUCUACCCCAAGGGACAAUGAUUUUUUUCAAACAAUGUAAACGUCCAUUACAAAAAAAUGGUUAAUCACUGGGGGUUUUAUUGCAGAGGUUCUAUUAACCUCCAUGAAUUAUAUCAAAUUGUGGCAGUUUUAUCUAACCUCCGUAAUUUCUAUGUUAUUUGUGGGAGGUUAACCCCCAAACUUGAGUUUGUUAACUCCAAUUAAACUUGUCGAAAAUUCCAAUAGGCACCUAUAUUUUUAUUUUCUUCUAGAACUAGGAAUCCUCCGGUUCAUUCUGCUACAUGGCGAUCUACAAAAGUCACCGUUAUUGUUCUCUGGCAUUGACUCCAUCGACGUUUUCUAACCUCGAUUCCGUCGUCAUUCUCUAGCCUCAACUUCACAUCGUUCUCUAGCCUCGACUCUGCCCUCAUUCUCUAGCCUCCACUCCGCUGGUGUUCUCUAGCCUCCACUCCGCCCUCUCCACUUGCCUAUUUCAUUGUAUGCCUAUCUCAUCGAACCUUACAAAAUUUAACAAUGUCACUCCUUUCUACUAGAGCUAUUCAUGAAACUCUAGACAGAAUCUCAAAUUGAGGUGCCGAGUGUUCCUGGCAGAUGCUAUUGAAGCAUCGACAAAUCUGGAUUUGUUUUCGUGGUUCUGGAUUUCGCAGUGUGCAAAAAUAUCUGAACUUUCUGCUAUACCUAAUAAUAUUGUAAUGUUGCUCAAAGUCACUUCAUCUUUUAUUUUUCCUUUUAUCAUAUGAAUUUCUCUUAUUUUAUUUUUCAUUAGGUGCUUUGUCCUGUAUGUGGACCAAUUUGAUUAUGGGUGCCUCUGUCAAAAGUAUACAGAAAACCAACCCUUUGUAAAUCCUGGUAAAGUAUACAGAAAAGCAAUCCUUCCACAAAAAUAUAUUGCGGAGAAGACAUGAACUGUGAUCAAUGUAUUUAAAAUAUUGUGUCAUAAAUUCCUCUCUUUUGUGUUUUCCUAGGAUAAGACAUGCACUAUGUUCCCAGCAACUAUCAUGAUUAACAUUAUUGUAAAGCAGGGGGUAGAGAGUCACUCCUUUCUAAGGCAAGAGGAGUCGUUUCUUGUAGUUGUGAGGGCAUAAAAGAGAAGGGAGCAACAGAGAAAAACAAUAAUCUCCCUAAUAACAUAAGACUUAGAUCAAGUCUUCGUGGUGUCGAGCUUGUCAAGCAAAGGUGAACUUUACCUAAUAACAUGAUUAUUGUAAUAGGUAAUUUUGUUAGGACACAGCGCUGGAGGACUGAGUGUCACAUAUGCAACUCACAAAUUUCCAAGGAUGGAAAUGUAUAAUAGAGUAACUAUGUUGAGAAAAGGUAUUAUGACUGGACAAGAUAUUAAAGCUGUAAGUUAUUGCUUCUCCAUCCUUGACAUGAUCAUAAAUGAGACAUGUGUUACAUAGUUUAAAUCGAGAUUUAUGAGUAUAGUAUAACAAAUUAGUACCAUCUACGUGUUCGUGGAUUUUGUGCAUUUGCGUAUUACAUUUGUUCAUGUUUGGAUUAUGUGUGUAUUCCGGUAACAUGCAAAUUAUUUGUCCAAGACAUUGUAACGAAAGACGUCGUUUCUAGUAGUAUCAUUGUUUAUUAAUCGGAAUUGUGAAUAUUCAUAUAAUCGAGUCUAAGUUAUUUUGAAUUGAGGCAUAGUUGUUGUCGUUUAAUGCUUUCAACCUUAGUAUGAUAAUGUUAAGGAUGUUUGUUUUGUGACUUGCAGUGGGCUAACAGCCUUUGUAAAGGAGCAAUGCUGCCACUGCCCGUGCCUCUAGAGAACAACUUUAGGGACAUUACCAGAACAAUUUUCGGAGUUAUUUGCUUCUCCUCCUACAAUGCCAGCUGGCGUUAGUGACAAUAAUCGUAGUGAAAUCCGUUAAAGUUCCAUAAAAUGGUGCAAAUCCUUUCUUGAGUUUGGGGGCUAUUGAUUUGAAGUUUAAGCAAGUUUUUGUAGUGAUUUGAAAUUAAAGAAAGUUUUUGUAGUGAUAUGAAGUUCUUGUAAUCGUAAUGGUUGAAGUGAAUGAGAUGUUUCAAUUUAGUUUGUAAAACUUAUACACUUUAUGAUAUAUUUUUCUAUUAUUUCUUAAUACUAAUAUGCU
Long non-coding RNA from Solanum pennellii, 2345 nucleotides. RefSeq lists it as uncharacterized. The record is from RefSeq and is a predicted model, not a curated record. The transcript has 4 exons. Lineage: Eukaryota; Viridiplantae; Streptophyta; Magnoliopsida; Solanales; Solanaceae.